This 252-nucleotide long non-coding RNA is filed under the name Lathyrus oleraceus (garden pea). RNAcentral's name for it is "Pisum sativum (pea) long non-coding RNA (PSAT_LNC036427)". The record is from RNAcentral. Lineage: Eukaryota; Viridiplantae; Streptophyta; Magnoliopsida; Fabales; Fabaceae.
CAAAUAAAAGUAGUGCGAGUUUGGAAAGUAAACAAAGUAGUGCGAGUGCGAGAAAUAAAUAAAGUAGUGCGAGUGCGAGAAAUAAACGAAAGUAGUGCGAGUGCGAGAAAUAAAUAAAGUAAAGACAGUGCGGGGAAAUAAAUAAAGUAAAGACAGUGCGGGAAAGUAAAGUAGAUAAAUGUAAAGUAAUAAAAACCUGCUCCAAUCGGAGGGUUGAAUAAAGUGCGAAACGGAAAUGAAAAUUGCGGCAGG